This 1493-nucleotide ribosomal RNA is filed under the name uncultured bacterium. RNAcentral's name for it is "partial 16S ribosomal RNA". The stretch from base 2 to 780 matches the Rfam family "Bacterial small subunit ribosomal RNA", at positions 9 to 873 of the family's 1533-position model. The record is from RNAcentral.
AGAGUUUGAUCAUGGCUCAGAAUCAACGCUGGCGGCGUGCCUAACACAUGCAAGUCGAACGAGAAAGUGGAGCAAUCCAUGAGUACAGUGGCGACCGGGUGAGUAACACGUGACUAACCUACCCUCGAGUGGGGAAUAACUCCGGGAAACCGGAGCUAAUACCGCAUAACAUCGCAAGAUCAAAGCCGAAAGGCGCUUGAGGAGGGGGUCGCGGCUGAUUAGCUAGUUGGCGGGGUAAUGGCCCACCAAGGCGAAGAUCGGUAUCCGGCCUGAGAGGGCGCACGGACACACUGGAACUGAAACACGGUCCAGACUCCUACGGGAGGCAGCAGUGGGGAAUUUUGCGCAAUGGGGGAAACCCUGACGCAGCAACGCCGCGUGGAGGAUGAAGUCCCUUGGGAUGUAAACUCCUUUCGACCGGGAAGAUACUGACGGUACCGGAUGAAGAAGCACCGGCUAACUCUGUGCCAGCAGCCGCGGUAAUACAGAGGGUGCGAGCGUUGUUCGGAAUUAUUGGGCGUAAAGGGCGCGUAGNNNGUGCGGUAAGUCACCUGUGAAAUCUCCUGGCUCAACUGGGAGUCUGCAGGCGAAACUGCCGUGCUGGAGUGUGGGAGAGGUGAGUGGAAUUCCCGGUGUAGCGGUGAAAUGCGUAGAUAUCGGGAGGAACACCUGUGGCGAAAGCGGCUCACUGGACCACAACUGACGCUGAGGCGCGAAAGCUAGGGGAGCAAACAGGAUUAGAUACCCUAGAGAGUUUGAUCAUGGCUCAGGAUGAACGCUGGCGGCGUGGAUAAGUCAUGCAAGUCGAGGGGCCCGCAAGGGCACCGGCAGACGAGGUAGUAAUAAUUAGGUACGUACCCAGGGGUCGGGCAUAGCUCGCCGAAAGGCGGGGUAAUUCCCGAUAGUCUCGCAAGAGUAAAGUUUUUUCGCCCCCGGAACGGCCUGAUCGGUAUCAGCUAGUUGGUAAGGUAACGGCUUACCAAGGCUAUGACGCCUAGGGGACCUGAGAGGGUGACCCCCACCGAUGGGACUGAGAUACGGCCCAUACACCUACGGGUGGCUGCAGACGAGAAUAUUCGACAAUGGGCGAAAGCCUGAUCGAGCGACGCCGCGUGGAGGAUGAAGUGCUUCGGUAUGUAAACUCCUUUUGCCAGGGAAAAAGUUAUUGAUUGUACCUGGAGAAUAAGACGUUGCUAAACUCGUGCCAGCAGCAGCGGUAAUACGAGUGCGUCGAGCGUUAUCCGGAAUCAUUGGGCGUAAAGGGUGUGUAGGUGGCACUAUUAGUCUCGCGUUAAAUCUUUCGGCUCAACCGAGAGGCCGCGUGGGAAACGGCAGUGCUUGAGGACGGAAGAGGUCUCUGGAACUCUAAGUGUAGCGGUGAAAUGCGUUGAUAUUUAGGGGAACACCAAAAGCGAAGGCAAGAGACUGGUCCGCUCCUGACACUGAAACACGAAAGCGUGGGUCGCGAAUGGGAUUAGAUACCCUAGUAGUCC